AAUGAACGCUGGCGGCAGGCCUAACACAUGCAAGUCGAACGGAUCCUUCGGGAUUAGUGGCGGACGGGUGAGUAACGCGUGGGAACAUACCCAAAGGUACGGAAUAGCCUCGGGAAACUGGGAGUAAUACCGUAUGUGCUCGAAAGAGGAAAGAUUUAUCGCCUUUGGAUUGGCCCGCGUUGGAUUAGGUAGUUGGUGGGGUAAUGGCCUACCAAGCCGACGAACCAUAGCUGGUUUGAGAGGAUGAUCAGCCACACUGGGACUGAGACACGGCCCAGACUCCUACGGGAGGCAGCAGUGGGGAAUCUUAGACAAUGGGGUAAACCCUGAUCUAGCCACGCCGCGUGAUCGAUGAAGGCCUUAGGGUUGUAAAGAUCUUUCAGGUGGGAAGAUAAUGACUGUACCACCAGAAGAAGCCCCGGCUAACUCCGUGCCAGCCGCCGCAGUAA
This 449-nucleotide ribosomal RNA is filed under the name uncultured bacterium. RNAcentral's name for it is "partial 16S ribosomal RNA". It matches the Rfam family "Bacterial small subunit ribosomal RNA", at positions 29 to 523 of the family's 1533-position model. The record is from RNAcentral.